Molecule: transfer RNA, 73 nt
Filed under: Candidatus Omnitrophota bacterium
Lineage: Bacteria; Pseudomonadati; Candidatus Omnitrophota
Description: tRNA-Thr
Rfam family: tRNA
About the family: Transfer RNA (tRNA) molecules are approximately 80 nucleotides in length. Their secondary structure includes four short double-helical elements and three loops (D, anti-codon, and T loops).
Source: RNAcentral
GCCCCUGUAGCUCAGUUGGUAGAGCACGUCCUUGGUAAGGACGAGGCCAGCGGUUCAAUCCCGCUCGGGGGCU